CCGGAAGUGACGAGACAGAGGGGCCGCGCAGGCGCAGGAUGGAGGGAGAGCCCCCAUGUGAUUGUUCGGCCCAAGCGGGCCUCUCUAGCAAUCCGUGUAGUCGGGGUCGAUGAGGUCGGAGGGCAAAUCGCCGUCGUCAUUGGCAACGUCUAUGUUAGCCCCCAGGGAGAUGAGGUAUCUAAGGUGGGAAGGAAAAAGGAGAAGUUGGAAGGAUCAAAUGAGAUACAAUAAAAGGGUGAAAUACAAAAGAUGGCUAAUAUCAGCAAAUAAAAGGAAUUUCUCUUCUCAGGACAUCUAAUUUUAACUUAUUUGUUGGCCAGAUUUAGAUACCUAGGGGGAAGGAAUACUUUGGGGUGUUCUAGGAAUUGUAAUGCAAAUACUUUUUGACAUUGUAAACUACCUUUGACUCUAAGAAGAAAUGAAUCUCUCAACCCCCUGAUACUAUCAUUCUUCGUAUUGGCCCAGGCUCUUUGAACAAAUGUUUUCCAAAACAUGACCAUUAUCAGAAGAAAAAUAUGUUAUCAUAUCGGGAUUUAUUUUUCCUCCAUAUAUGUGACCAGCUUUUUAAUUAAAAGUAUGAUGUAGCUAAAACAAAAUCAAAUUGAUUUGAAAUCAAUAUUUUUGAAUCUCUGAUCUCUCUAUGCAUAAACUUCUUUUAAAGUUUUUUUUUUUUUCAAAAAAAGAAAAAGAAGACUAGCUACAUAGCUAAGUGGAACUUGAUCAACUAUCUAUCCUUUCUUUACAUUAAAUGAUUCAGCUCUUGUAGUGAAUAUGUCAAAUAAUUCCUUUUCCUAGACGGUGUAUCAACAGGCAAUAACUACAUAUCACUAUGUGCUAGCUAGGGCAAUAUGUAAGGUACAAAUACUAAAGUAAGAAUAAUACAGUUACACCUUCAAGUUACAAGGUACUUGUAAUCUAUUAAAGCAACAUUCAGUUCUAAAAAUGUGUAUAUUUUAUGGAUUACUUGCUGGGAAUGGGA
Long non-coding RNA from Sarcophilus harrisii (Tasmanian devil), 979 nucleotides. RefSeq lists it as uncharacterized. The transcript is spliced from 3 exons. Lineage: Eukaryota; Metazoa; Chordata; Mammalia; Dasyuromorphia; Dasyuridae. The record is from RefSeq and is a predicted model, not a curated record.